AUGGCAGAUUUACAUACUGCGCGCUUGGAAAAUGAGAAAGUGAAAAAGCAGUUAGCUGAUGCACUGGCAGAACUUAAACUAAGUGCUGUGAAAAAAGAUCAGGAAAAGACUGAUACACUAGAACAUGAACUUAGAAGAGAAGUCGAAGAUCUGAAACUCCGCCUUCAGAUGGCUGCAGAUCACUAUAAAGAAAAAUUUAAAGAAUGCCAGAGGCUCCAAAAACAGAUAAACAAGCUUGCAGACCAAUCAGCCAAUAAUAAUAGUGUCUUCACAAAGAAGGUUGGGAAUCAACAGAAAGUGAAUGAUGCUUCAAUAAACACAGACUCAUCUGCUUCCACCUCUGCUUUAGAGAUAAAGCCACCAAUACCUUCUGCAGCAGAGACAGAUAUUGAUAUGCUGACAAAAGGUCAAGUCUAUGAAAUGACCAAAGAAAUUGCUGACAAAACAGAAAAAUACAAUAAAUAUAAACAACUCUUACAGGAUGAGAAAACUAAAUGUAAUAAAUAUGCUGAUGAACUUGCAAAAAUGGAGCUGAAAUGGAAAGAACAAGUGAAAAUUUCUGAAAAUGUGAAACUCGAAUUAGCUGAAAUGGAGGACAAUUACAAACUUCGAUUGGCAGAGAAAGACAAAGAAAUACAUAUUUUGACUUCACAGUUGGAAAACCUCUCCAGGGAGAAGGAACUUAAAAGGGUAGAAAACCAAACAGAACGGAAAAGGGAAGGUCAUAGUCUUCAGCAUGUCUCCCAGGGUCUCAACGCAUGCUCGGAGCAAAAUGGGCGUACUUUGGUGCUGUCCGGUGCACAGCCAGCUCUACAGUAUGGGAACCCUUAUGCGAUACAGGAAACAAGAGAUGGAGCAGAUGGUGCUUUUUACCCAGAUGAAAUCCAAAGGCCACCUAUGAGAGUCCCCUCGUGGGAAGACAGUGUUGUCUGCAGCCAGCCUGCUCGAAACCUUAGCCGGCCUGAUGGUUUAGAGGACCCUGAAGAUAAUAAAGUGCCUUUUCCCAUGACCCACUUGACUGCAGCCAUGGCCAGCAGCUCUGUGGAAGACGAGAAUGUGCCCACUGCCCCUGAUCCCCCAAGCCAGCACUUACGUGGCCAUGGAGCAGGCUUUUGCUUUGACUCCAGCUUUGAUGUUCACAAGAAGUGUCCUCUGUGUGAAUUAAUGUUCCCUCCCAACUACGAUCAGAGCAAGUUUGAGGAGCACGUGGAGAGUCACUGGAAGGUGUGCCCGAUGUGCAGUGAGCAGUUCCCGCCUGAUUAUGACCAGCAGGGCUUUGAAAGGCAUGUUCAGACCCAUUUUGAUCAGAAUGUUCUAAACUUUGACUAAUUAUUUUUAUUAAGAGGUAAUACGUAUCAGUAGUUUAGAAGAUACCACCUUGGACCACUAAAGAGACCAUAAAUUGUCAUGUACCCACUAUGGCACUUUUCAGACUAAGAGCUACUUUGAUUUUGGUGUUUCUAGUGUCAGGAUCAGUCUUUGGCUUAUCAAUAAAUAUAAUUUUAGCCUCUGUUAAUCUUACUUGCUUUAAGAAAAGUUCGUGUGUGUUUAUAUCUUUUAUUUAUUCCCUGGUUUGCAGAACUGUAUGAAUAAAGGAUAAAGGAAUUAUUUCAAUGUUACUACACUGAAAAAAUGUGAUAGUAUGCUAGAUUACUUAGCAGAGUAUUUACAAGUUUCUGUUGACCUUGUUGAUUGAGCAUGACUACUAAAUAUUAUGUAAUAAAAAGCAUUGAUCAUUAACAGUUUUGUGAAUUAAUUCUUUGAAUCAGAAAGGUCCGUAGUUGAGUCCAUGGUAGCUUUUAAAUGUUCUUUAGAAAUGGAACUGCAUGUAGAAUAAUAAUACAUGCUUGAAAAUAUUUUUUUUAUAUAAGAAAUGUUGGCUCUAGAAAUAGAAGGUAUAUUUUGCUAAUUUUGACAAAAAUUUUUAGAGUAACUUGAAUAUUUUUAAACUACAUUUAAUUUGUAUUUAAAAUGAAUGGGAAAAUGGAAAGAUAAGUUAGUACAAUUUGUUUUAUACAAAAUGACCUCAUAAUGUGGCACAGAAAUCACAGAAUAUGUAUCAGGACCCUUUUCACGUUUCCCUAAUGUGAGUAUAAAUUUGAAGUACUGUUCUCAGUAAGUACUUAACAAUGUAAUGUAUAAGCCCAAAUCAAAGUAAUAUGUAUCUUUAGUUAUGUCUUUGUUGUGCAGUAUUCAUCAACAUUAAAGAGGAUACGUUUUUGGAGGUCUGUAGUUUGAUUGUCAAGUUUAUUUGCAGUAGUUUUUCAUUAACCUAGAAUCCUCACUUUUUUUGUGUGUGUGCCUUGGGCCAUUAAAGGCUUUUUGUAUUUCUUUUUUAUAAUACUGUGAAUGUCAAGAAUUGUAGAAGACCAUGUGGACAGCUCCCCUUAAAUGCAGAACAGUCAUCUCUGCAUUAGUUAAACCAAACCCUGUCUCCAGGUACUGAUGCGUUCAGAGCUGGUUAAGCAGUUGCCUUUUCCCUUCAGGUAGCUCUAAGCAAUGCCGAAGCCAGCUGAGGUACUGACCUGUAACCCUUAAAUCCAGACCGGCUUCCUGUUUCUUGGCAUUGUGUUCUUUAAAAACGAUUGAGCAGAGCAGAUGGCAGAGCCAUAUAGCUCCAAAUACGUCAACUGGGUUGAGUCUCAAGAUAAGAGGCCAUGACUUCCCAGGCACAAAAGUUUACAUAUCACAAACUAAAGGACUAGCCUCCUAAAUCAUUCAAAUGCUACCCCAACUGAGAUGAGCAGAUUGGUCCUUCUACAUGCCUUCUGCCUGCAUAUUGCAGAGGUGCUUUCUCACCAACUGGCCAGCUCAGCUCACGUUACUCAUGUAAUUCCCACCGCCACUCCCUGUAUUAUCUCUUCUUGGAUAAUAAAUUGGGCAGGGCCUCGCAUCAAGAGCUUUGUUCUGUGUAUCCUCACUUGGAACGGACUGGGGUUCCUUGGCUGCCUGUAAUUAUAAGUGUUAAGUGUCUUUAUUCUCACUGUGGGUUGCACCAGAGGUGCUAGAUUGAAAUUAACUUGCCAGAAUUCCAAUAGUGUUUCCAUGUGGUUACAAAUGUAACUGCAGACUGAGAGGAAAACAAAUCACCAUAUUUGGAUUACAUUAUUAUUUAAGGGAUUGCAAUUGGGAUUACAAUAAAGAAUUGUAAAUACUAACAUUUGAUUUGCCAUUUUGGUACCUGUCAAAAAUUUUAAGGCUUGUUCUGAC
This 3210-nucleotide long non-coding RNA is filed under the name Cavia porcellus (domestic guinea pig). Its description in RNAcentral is "lncRNA (ENSCPOG00000036265.1)". The record is from RNAcentral. Lineage: Eukaryota; Metazoa; Chordata; Mammalia; Rodentia; Caviidae.